Molecule: ribosomal RNA, 253 nt
Filed under: uncultured bacterium
Lineage: Bacteria
Description: partial 16S ribosomal RNA
Rfam family: Bacterial small subunit ribosomal RNA
Source: RNAcentral
UACGAAGGGGGCUAGCGUUGCUCGGAAUCACUGGGCGUAAAGGGCGCGUAGGCGGCUUUUCAAGCGUGCGGUGAAAGCUCGGGGCUUAACUCCGAGUCUGCCGUGCGAACUGGGAGGCUUGAGUCUGGUAGAGGUCGAUGGAAUUCCGGGUGUAGCGGUGGAAUGCGUAGAGAUCCGGAAGAACACCGGUGGCGAAGGCGGUCGACUGGGCCAGUACUGACGCUGAGGCGCGACAGCGUGGGGAGCAAACAGG